Non-coding RNA from Schizosaccharomyces pombe (fission yeast), 257 nucleotides. NCBI's taxonomy places the organism in Eukaryota, Fungi, Ascomycota, Schizosaccharomycetes, Schizosaccharomycetales, Schizosaccharomycetaceae. The record is from the annotation of a GenBank genome assembly.
CCUAAAAGUAGAAACGACAAAAAUAUAUUACAAAGCUUAAGUCAAUUUAACGAUUUUUGUGAACUUGUAAAGAUGCUUACCGUGUUUAUUUAAUUGUUUACAAUAUGAUAUGAGUUUUUGUGAAAUCAAAUUUAUAUAUAAUGGAUAAAGGUGAUCGCAUCUAACAUUCUUGGUUUACGAGUUAUACACACUUAUAUAUAAAUAUAUAUUUUUUUUUGUCGAAACGCAACUUUCAAUCCUGCCUUAAUUAUCACUUU